Zalophus californianus (California sea lion) is the source of this 486-nucleotide long non-coding RNA. RefSeq lists it as uncharacterized. The transcript is spliced from 4 exons. The record is from RefSeq and is a predicted model, not a curated record. NCBI's taxonomy places the organism in Eukaryota, Metazoa, Chordata, Mammalia, Carnivora, Otariidae.
CCGAGGCCGAGCACCACAUGAGCAUGGGAAUGGUCAUUUCAGAUGGCUCUGGAAACUGAGAAGCUGCUCAGAGGCUUCUUUCGCUCCUGGUCCGCAAAGAAGCAGGGGGUGCUGGAGCCACGCCGGCUGGAGCAGAAGUUGCACGUCUGAAUGAGGCAGGUUGCCGCCGCCGAGCUGGGUGGGCAGACAGCCGCCCUCGAGAAGAGACAGGCACCCGCAUUCCGAGCUCCUGCCGCGUGCCCCUGGCCUGUGUGUCUCCUUGGGCCCUGGGUGGCUGAGCAGACCCUUGCCAGCAGAGUGGACCCCGCAGCUCCCCGACUCCAUGCUUUUUUCAACUCCCAUCUUUCAUCCCCAUUGGCUGCCCUGUGCCAGGGCCCAGGUGGGCAAUAUACAUUCCUCCAUGGACAGCUCAGCGGCGUAGCUGAUUCCUACAGCCCCUGCUUCUGCCAGGAUCGUGCUGUGUGCAUGUGUAUCUCUACAUCUUUC